This 318-nucleotide unclassified non-coding RNA is filed under the name plant metagenome. RNAcentral describes it as "partial contains 5.8S ribosomal RNA, internal transcribed spacer 2, and large subunit ribosomal RNA". The stretch from base 1 to 105 matches the Rfam family "5.8S ribosomal RNA", at positions 50 to 154 of the family's 154-position model. The record is from RNAcentral.
GAAAUGCGAUAAGUAAUGAGAAUUGCAGAAUUCAGUGAAUCAUCGAAUCUUUGAACGCACAUUGCGCCCGCCAGAAUUCUGGCGGGCAUGCCUGUUCGAGCGUCAUUUCAACCCUCGAGCUCCCCUUUCGGGGGGAGCCCGGCGUUGGGGACCCGGCGCUAACAACGCCGGCCCCGAAAUGGAGUGGCGGCCCGUCCGCGGCGACCUCUGCGUAGUAACAACCACUCGCACCGGGACCCGGGCGCGGCCACGCCGUAAAACACCCCACCUUCCGAAUGUUGACCUCGAAUCAGGUAGGAAUACCCGCUGAACUUAAGC